GGGACGGCGAUCCGGGAGUGGGGGCGCGGGGAGGAGCUGUACGAGAGCAUGGUGAGGAGGGCGAGGGCGAGCGUGAGGGACGGCGGCGGCGGCGGCGAGAUCAAGGCGCUGCUGUGGUACCAAGGCGAGAGCGACGCCUCGACGCAGCACGACGCGGAGGCGUACCAGGGGAAGAUGGAGGCGCUCAUCAAGAACGUGCGCGACGAUCUCGGCCUGCCCUCCCUUCCCGUCAUCCAGGUAAGUUCCGUCUCCGUCGUCCCCUCCGCUGAGCUCUUUCGAUCGCCAUUGUUGAACAGAGCUUAGUUCUUUCUUUCUUUCUUUCUUUCUUUUUUCUUUUUUUUUUUUGGGUCUGCUUGGCACUUGAUGGAAUUAUUUUACAAAACACCCUAGAACCAAAAUUAGAAUAGAUGCAAUCGUUAUUAUUUUAAUAGUCAAGUUAAUGAAUUAGAUGCUCCCACUAUCAUAUCAAUUAUUUUUAUAAUCUAUUUGUGAGUAGUACUCAAAGUUAUACACACUAUAUGUGGUUUUUAUAUUUUAACGGCCAAUAGUGAUAUUAUAAUUUAAUAUAUAUAAAUGUUUUUCUAUUGUUUAAUAAAAAAUUUAUGGUUUUUAUUUCAAUUUAGCGAUGUAAUGCGGGGAUUAAAAUAAUUGUUAUCAAUGCAAUCGAUACUCAAUUUACAUAGUCAUACCUAAUCGCGGUCAGUAAUGUUUUGCUAAUUAUUAUCGUAUGAAUAAUUUUUAAUAUAAUAAAAAUUGGCACAUCAUCAAGAAACUUAAUAACAAUUAUAUAAUUUAUUUACGUUUUAUUCAAUAAUUUACUUAGUGAUCAUAUAGGUGAUUAUUUCAUAUGAGUUUACACUUGGUGUUCUUAUUGCUUGAAUAAUUUAAAUAAAUUUAAUUAUGAAUAAAUUUUACUUAAUAGAGUGGGUGGGAAAAAAGGACGGAUUACGUUGUAACAACUAUUACCGCAAGUAAGCACUACACUAGGCAGCCAAUCUGUAUUAGAUCUGAAUAUAAUAGGCUUUAGUACAGCCAAACAUGUCAUAAAUUUCAAUCUCUUUGACAUGAUUUUUGUCUUUAUUUGUGUCAUGCCUGUAAUUUUUUGGAGUGGGUAGACAUGUGCGCUUGGGCCCCCCAGUAGGCAACAAAAUGAAAUGGGAACACUGCCAAAUGAAUAAAAACGAGUAGUUUUCUUGAUUCUCAUCAUCAGAAAAGAUAUGCUGGGGGAAAGAAAGUAAAUUUUACAGAUCAAUUUUAUUUGAACUAUGAUCUUGUGGGCAUAAUGAUUGAAUUCACAUGAUUAACUAUAUUGAUAUGUGAGGCUCACAUUAUCAUUGUUUAUAUAAUCUUGUUCACUUGGUGAGCAAUGAUUAUUCGAGACAAAUAUAGCACAUACGCAGCUUUACACAGGGAUUACCUUUUGGUAUUUAGACGACAUUAAUUUAUAUCAUAAGGCAUGCAAGACUUAGAUACUUCUUGAUCCAUAGGAUUCACAGGGUGGCACGCAGAAAGUAUCAUAGCACUAUCUCAUCGGACUUACAAGAUACUCCUAACUCUCUUAUGUCGUCAAGUCUCAAGGGAGGAAUAAGAGUAUCUAGAAGACUAUGGGAGAGUGUCUACAAAUUGAAAACUUAGAUAAUUCUUAUUCUAACUUAUCACUGAAGUUAGCAGUACAUGCAGAAGGUUGAGGGUAUUACAGACUUUUGUCUAUAAUACAUAGGCAUCUGCAAGAUUUUCUUACAGGAUAAUAAUACAAAAUACGACCACAUGUGCAUUUGAAAUAUGCUUUUUAUGCAAGAUGUUUUUACAGGACAAUUUUACUAGAAGGAAGGACAAUAGUAGAAGCAUUUUGGCCAAAAGUAGUGGCAUUCUUUACUUUAGGUAAAAUAAUACAAUUAGUGGACAACUGAUUUUUUGGCGCAGAUGCAAGCUUGUGAUGUGGGUCAUAAUUCAAGUUUGCAUCAUCAGAGUUGGAAUCCAUAUUCAAAUCUUUCGGGCUAGUGCUUUAUCCUAGUCGAAUAUGAAAAUUCAACUAUUGAUUGUUAGAGCUGGCCUAAGUGACCACACGCCAGGUUUGUGGUUUGGACACCACCUGGCUAGAUUGAUUAUUUGAUGAGGACAAGUGGCCAAAGUCGAGUUUGAGUUUAGAACCAAUGUCUUCGUAAUCUUAUGGAUCUUGAGAGAACUCCAUAGGGUCUAGAUGAUUCCCUCUAUAUACUGCCAAAGAUUGCUAGAUGGCUUUUAUAGUAGGCUUGUAUGCUUGGGAAUAAUCCCACAAAACCUUUUCUUGAUAUGCAUAGGGGUAUAUGGAUUAUGGAAGAGUAUGAUUCUUUUGGUAGAACACUCUUUGGAUCUCCAUGUAUUUGUUUGGAAGGUCUACAAUACUGCAUCCAAAAGAUUAUGGACAUUUGAUUUAUGGAAUUUUAUAUUGGACCGAAUAGAUAUAACAUAUUUCAUCAUAAGCAUGUAACAUCCAUGGCUUGUGGAAAAUGAUGGUUUUGUGGACCUCAUGAUCUGGAUCGAUAUAACAUAUUUCAUCAUAAGCGUGUAACAUCCAUGGCUUGUGGAAAAUGAUGGUUUUGUGGACCUCAUGAUCUGGAUCGAUAUCCAACUCUUUGAUAAACAAUUGCUUCCAAUAAAUCAAAGGGCGAAACUGUUCAAGAAAUUUUGCAAAAUGCUGGAGGUUAUGCUGCUGAUAUCCUCCAUCCAUGAAGUCUUCAACAAUCCAUGGCAUUCUUGCAAUGGGAGACUCAAUAGCAACGGUGUGUUAUUGUAAACAUACCAAUAAAAUCUUUAUGUUCUUUUGGAAAUUUUGACCAAAUGAGAAUACAUGGAUAAAUGGAUAUAUGUGAUGCAUGCCACUAGGUCUCAGGUUUAGGCAUUUACAUUGUCUAAAAAUCUUGUGCUGGCAUUCUCACGUAAGUUUUAUACAACCAUUCAAGGAUCAUUCUCUAGGGAUAAGUUUGUGGUUUCUACCUGUGUGAUUUGGAGUAUUAAUAUUAUAUGAUAGGUUUUUGAACCUCUUGCUUCUUGGUAUACUUCUCUGGAUUUCCCAGUGUGGUUCUAUAGAUGAUGUAAACAUGUGUAAUGGAGGAGCUUCUUAGAUUUGGAAAGGUCUGCAAGAACAUUCUUUUCCCCUUCGAUGUAUUUUGUUUCGAAUGAGUACUUUGAAAACUAUUCUGGCCAUGUAACAACUAAGCCUAUGAAAAAUGUCUUUUGUUUGAACUUAUCAUAUAUGUGGAAAGGAAGACAUAUCCAUUUUGCAAGUCAUGAAUGUUAUAAACUUAUGAGAGAUAUUUUAUGUCUAUCCACAUUGGAAUUCCACAGCUCAUAUUUCUAUAUUUUCUUGUGAAUGUGUAUAAAUCUUUUGAAUGCAGUAUUAGAGACCUUCCUAAAGAAGAGUUUUUUUUUUUUUUUUUUUUGAAACGAAUGAUAUUGUUUCAAAAUCCAUAUGAUUUGGGCAUAUUAAGAAGAGGUUUCCAUGGGAUUACACCCAAACAUACAAACCUAUUAGAGGAGCCAUCUAGCUAGCUUCAAUAGGAUACAAAAUGCAUAAGGAAUCAACCAAAUCAUAUGAAGUUCUCUCAAGACUCAUGAGAUUAUGGAGACACUAGCAUUGAUCUCAAACACUUGAAUUUGAUCGAUUGGUCUCACCAAUGAUCAAUCCAAUCAAGUGAUGUCCAUCCCUUAGAUCGAGCACAUGGUCACUUGAGCCUAGCUUCAACAAUCAACAAUUGGAUCUUAUCUUCGACUAAGACAAAGGACCACCCUCAUUGAUAUGGAUUCCAGCCAAAAUGAUGCAUACUCAAAUCUCAACCCACGCCAUAAGCCCUUCAACAAGCAUCUACUUUUAUAAGGUAGUCUGUCCACUAGUUGUAUUGUUAACGGUAGCCGCUACUUUUGGUUAGAGUGCUUUUAUUAUAGCCCGUCUAGUUAGUAAAAUUGUCAUGUAAAAGCAUCUUGUAAAUACAUUUGUGAUCAUAUUUUGUUUAUUGUCCUGUAAAAGCAUCUUGCGUAUGCUUAUGUAUUUUAUGCAAGCUUCUAUGAUGCCUCAACCUUUUAUAUGUAAGGCUAACUUUUGCGAAAAGUUGGAAUAAAAGUUGGCUGAGGCCAAGUUUGAUAACUAGCCACAUAGUAACUAUUUCUAUAUUUUUGUUCUUUGGAAAAAAAAAAAAUCUGUUUAGUAAGGUUUUUAUUCCUGAGAAUAGAUUUGGAACAGAAUUAACAAGUAAAAAAAAUUACUUCUUUGUUCUUGAGAACAACUCCAAAGUUAAAAUCUUUUUUUUCUAUUUUUUCUCUUUCCUCUUCUUCCUUUUUCUUUUCUUCUUUCCCUUUUCUUCUUCUUCUUCUUUCUCUUGCUAGCCACCGACCUUGCCCAUGGCUGGCAAUCGGCCAGGCGAGGGUCGAUGACCGCGCCGGAGCUUUGCUGGCCCACGACAAGGCCAAGCUAGCCUAGUGGCCAACUUCGUGGCGGCCUGGCGAGGUCAAGUCUUGCUAGGGGACGAUAAUGCUCCGACAAGGUUGCCAACCAUGGCCAAGGCUAGCAAUUGGCUAGAGGAAGAAGAAGAAAUGGAAAAAAGAGAAAAAUGUAAUAAAAUUAUUAAAAACUUAUCACAAAAGAAUUAAGGGUCGUACCAAAAGUAUUUCUAUAUCGGGAGUAAAAAUUUUAGGCAAUUAUCAAACAUCUUUAAUUACUUAGAAACUCAUAUAAGGAAUAGAAAUUAAAAAAAAAAAGAAGCAUUUUUUAUUACAAAUUGUUCCCGAUAAAAAGAAUAGCUAUCAAACGCACUCUAAGUUUUUUUGUCUAUCAAAGUAUAAGAGGUUCGUGUGCUUUAUGGUAAAGGUUAAUGGCGUCUAGAAACGAAAAUGCUGUCCAUUUGAAAGGCUACAUGCUGCAUGACAUGGCACAUUGGUAAAUUACGGUUGAUUGCGGAUCCUACCAUGUUGAAAUUUAUCUUUAUUAAGAUUUGUUCAGUAGAUCCAAACUGUCUUUUUCAUGAAUUUCUUUGAGCCAUGCCAUGGGUAUUUUAUCUUUUCAUCGUGGUAGACGUUGGGCCAACAAUUGAUAUUUUUGCACCUCGAGUUAUAAAUUAAUUGUGUUAAAUUUAUACCUACUCCAAAUACAACAUGUUUGUUAAUACUAUCAUGUCUUUGAAUACCAAACACAAGUUUAGUAUAAAGUUACUACAUUUAUUUGGACGUCUAUUCACAUAUCUAAAUGUAUCCAAAUAAAUUGUUUGUUAACACGACUUGCAUGUUAACCUAUUUGGUUAAAUGUGUUCAAGCAUGUUAAAUUGAAAUGGUUAUCAAAGUUGCGAAAGAUACAUGAUUUUUCUUGUAUAGAUGGGUUUAUCAUAAAAAUCUCAUACUCAUAAAAAAAAAAAAAAAAAAGGAGUCGUCCCUUAAUCUGCAAUUAAGCAUAUGUCAUUUGAAUUUUACUCAUUUAUUUUAUAUCAAAUAGAUAUUUAACAGGAAAAAACUAUUGUAAAUUUUAAAAAAAUUAUGAAAAAUUCGUGUUUGGUUCUAGGUGUUUUAAAUUGUAUAUAUUGAUAGGUUUCAAGUUUUUCACAUUGAACUAAAUGGAUAAAUGUGCUAACAAUUAUAAAAUUUGUUGUGAAAGUAUAAUUGAGUAUUAAAAAUUUUAAAAAAUACAAUAAAGUAGUUGCCCAAAUGGUCCAAUUUGAUUAACAGAAAAUGCUAACAUGACAUUGUUGCAUUUUUCAUUAACAUGAUGGUGACGUAGGAAAGACAAACUAAUUAAAAAAAAAAGGCGUGAUUUGUUAGCGAAAUUGGAGGGAGCUAACAAAGAUUAAGCACACCAAUUUGAUGAUUUUUGGAAUUCGAUUGCACUUUCAAAAAAAAAAUAAGGAUUCAACUGUACUUAACCAUAAAUUUUAGGGUUUCUAGUAUACUUUAUUUCCAAGUAAAUAUCUAAUUGUGUGGUCUGCCCUUUGACAAAUUAGAAGUGGAAGUCCUCCAAGGGGCCUAAUCUUCGCAUUUCUUCUUAGUAAUAAAUAAUAUUUAUAGCUCUUCUAGGAACAUUUAAUUGCUUAAAAUUGGCAAGCAUUGUCUCUCAUAAUAAGGAAAAAACUUCAACCAGUUGUAAAUUAAUGUUGUCCUUAGUUGAGCAUGUCAAUCCGAAUUUUCCUAGAGGGUUUUGUCAAAUUCUCACUAAAUUCAUGUAGAGAAACUAAAUUUUUAUCAAAGAAAUUAAAUAUGAAUGUAAUCACAAGGUAUUUUAAUCGGGUGUACAUAACAACUAUUGGGCAAAAUCGAUGUACAGGUCGCAAUCACGUCGGGGGAUGCGAGGUACAUGGACAUAGUGAGACGGGCACAACUCGGAAUCAAGCUCCCGAACGUCGUGUGCAUCGACGCGAAGGGGAUGCCACUCAAUGACGACCACCUUCACCUCACCACUCAUGCCCAGGUCCGCCUCGGCCACAUGCUGGCCGAUGCGUACCUCCAGCACUUCACACCAUAGCCCCACCCUAAAAGAAGAAGAAGAAGAAACCACAAAACAACCUCUUCUCUCGCGCUGGCUCCUCUUUCAUGUAAUAAUGUCAAAAGUUCCAUCCUCCCGUCCUUUCAAGGCAGGCUGGGUGAGGUUUGUUCCGAGGGGUGAUUCCAAGUGUGCCUGCUUUUGAUUCGCCAUACAAUUGAGUGUAAGAAAUUCCAAGUAGUUCUCUUUUCUUCUUCUUUUUCUUUUUCUUUUUUUUUUUAAUUUAUGAGGUUGGUUCUCAUUUUAUUCUUGACGCACUCAUCUCAUUUACAAUCAGUAAAAUAAAUAAAUAAAAUUCAAAAAAUAAUAAUAAGGGUUAAUACCCUGAAAAACGUCAAACUAAUACACUUGUGACAAAUUUAUCCCAAAUUAUUUUUUUGACUUCUAAAAAUCCAAAAUUGGUAUAUCUUUAACAAAUUUACUCAAAACUAGUACAUUUGUGAAAAAUUUACUCUUUGUUAGUUUUUGUUAAAUUUUACAGUCAAAUUAUUAAGUUAGCAGAAGGUAUAUUUGUUACAUAUUUACUAAUUGGAGAUUUUUUGCGGUCGAAUAAAUUAAUUUAGAGUAAAUUUGUCAUAAAUGUACCAAUUUAAGGUUUUUUUAUAGUUAGUCGAAGUAAAUUUGUCAUAAGUAUAUAUGUUUGGGGUUUUUGGAGGUAAAAAGAAUAAUUUUUGAUAAAUUUGUCAUAAGUGUAUGAAGUUUUUUAGGAUAUUAAUCCUAAUAAUAAUAGAGAGAGAGAGAGAGAUAUGGCCUUUUGCAUAAGAAAGCAAAUUAGACAUUCCAUUCCUCUCACCUACUUCUGGGGUCCACUGUCAAGUUGGACAGUGGCCCAUCAUGCGGCCCGAGGCGCGUCAUCCGGCUUUUUGCGCGGCCCAUGCAUUGCGAUUUUCGAUUGCUUUGAGAGGGGGAAAGAGGAUCAAACGAGUUCAACCGAAAUUGUCCGAAGGGUAAAAUCGUAACUUUGUCCGAAGAUCUGCGUUUCUAUUUUUGGACAAUGCAAACGAUGACAUUUAAUAAAAUAUUUUUUUAAUCAUUUAUUUCUGCGCGACAAAAGUUUUCAAUAAAAUAAUUUCUUGUACCGCGUGUAAAAAUGAAUGAAUUAAAAAGAUUUCAAUCAUCUAGUUUGAAUAUAAAUUAUUGUCGAUAAUGAAAAUAUUUUUUAUUGAUUAAUAUUUCAAGCAAAGAAUCGAUUAUUUUAUAGGAAAAUAUUUUUGAAAUGAUUUGUUUUCCGUAAUUUCAUGAGAACUCCAUAGAGCCUAGUUGAUUCUUUUUGUAUAUAUAUGCACGAUUGCAGUCCUGCUGCCCAGUUCAAGGAUUUGAAGACUCCAAGAAUGCAAUGACUGAUGAGUACGUUAUAUGGAUACAGAAGGCUUGCGUACUUUGGAGCUGCUCUUUGUUCCCCUAGCCAUCACAGGACUUGCAGUCAAGCCUUCCUUCUCAUGUUCUAAUGCUGUUUUUAAUGCUUGCAAGACCUCUUCAAGGCACUUCAUUCACUGUAGGCUUUGCGACUGAUCAAACUGUUAAUGCCACACUACGAGGUCUUUGUCAAGACUUUAUUCCGAUUCAACUAAGAGAAACUUUCAUUCUUUACUUAAAGCAGAAGGAGCCACUUUAUGAAAAUUACAUGCAAAGAACCGAUGCUUUAUCUAUUUCCAGGGACAUCAAAACAGACGAACACAGAUUACUUCUUUCCCAUGUUUUCUGACAAGCAUAAAGUUAAAUCUGAGGGGCAAACGACAAUAGCUGUUUCCUAAGACAAAAUACUAUCUAAGCAAAUCCCUGUCUCCUUUCCUUUUCCUGAGUAAAACCAAUGACUAACCAUGAGACUUGAAAAGAGUGGCCAAAGGAAAUGAUGCGAGGGACAGGAGCAGAAGACACGGUUGUUUGUACGUUUGGCCUGCUCAAUUCUCAUGCACCAACCCCAUUCUUCUGACCCACUGGCUUCUCCUCAUUUGCAUCUUCUGUCUCAGCAACACAAUGUGAAGUGAACCUCAUGAGCUUUUACCUGACGGAAGCCAUCCAAUGCUUCACUCCAAAAGCCGAACCAAAUGACGCCUAAGUCCUCUCCCUCAGCUGAUCGCAUUAGAGAGUUAUAAUUAUCUUGUUAGCUCAAUAAGAAGAGAUAAUUAUGAUAUGCUCUCCAUUUGUCACUUCAUGGAUAAGAAAGUUUCUAAUUCUUGAGUGCCUUAUGGUACACAUUAAUGACAUCUAAAGAUUAAAAGGCGACCUUUGAAAAGCCAAGAGAAGAUCUUAUUUGUGGAAUAGCAUAUUCGUCUCAGAUAAUCAUCAGUUAUCAUACUCUUCUCAUUAGGUAAUGUAUGACCAUUGCUCACAUUUGUUAAUUAUGUGAAUCCUAUUAUCAUGCCCACGUGAUUACGGUAGAAAUAAAUUUUAGAUUUGUAUAAUUUACUUUCUUUUCUCUAACAUUACAUAAUCAAGAAUUAGGUAAUGUACGAUCAUUGCUCACAUUCGUUAAUCAUGUGAAUUCUAUCAUCAUGAUCACGUGAUUACGAUUCAAAUAAAUUUUAGAUUGGUAUAGUUUACUUUCUUUUCUCCAACAUUACCAACAUUACAGAAUCAAGAAAACCACUCUUUUUCUUUUCUUUUCUUUUCACUUGGCGGUUUUUUCACUCAUUAUGUUGCCUACUGAGGGCCCCACCCCACACCUCGGUAUAACCAUGAGCUAAAGAACUACCAUCACCAAUUCAAAAAAUUACAAGCAUGAGAUCGAUAAAAACAAGGGCCAUGUCGAAAAGAAUGAGAUUUAUGACACGUUUAGCUGCAAUAGUGUCACUCUAUUACAAAUUUAUUGCAGAUUGACUGCCUAUUAAAGUGCUUUUCGCAGUAAUAAUUAUUAUAACGUAAUUUUUAAGUGGCCGUCCUUUUCUUUCCACUCACUCUACUAAGAAAAAUUUAUUCAUUACUAAAUUUAUUUAUAUUGUUUAAGUGAGAACACCAAUUGUAAAUUUAUAUGAAUUAAUUAGUAAUAUAUUAAAUAAUAGGUAAAAAACUGGUAUAACCGUUACUAAGUUUCUUGAUGAUGCGCAAAUUUUUUAUUGUGUUAAAAAUUAUUGAUACGAUAAUAAUUAGAAAAAUAUUAGUUAAUCACAAAAAUUAUUUCACUCACAUGUUUGUAUCCUUUAAUUUAAAUGGAAACUAAAGACAGGCUGAAUAGACAUAGAUGGCGGCAAGGGAAAGCAGGCUGAGAUCGUCGCGCGCGCUCUUGAUGGGUGCCUCCACGUACCCCCGGCACUGUCUAGGUGGGAAGGGAGAGCGGGCUGGAACGUCGCGCACGUUCUUGAUGAGCACCUCCAUAUACCCCCGGUACGACGGCAGUGCCUUAAUCUCCCUGCCGCCGCCGCCGCCACCGCCACUACCGCCGUCCCCAUCCCUCACCCUCCUUGCCAUGCUCUCGUAUAGGUGCUCCUAUGCUCCCACUCCCGUAUCACCAUUCCCCCGCCUCACAUUGCACUAGCUCCACCCUCCCUCGCAAGCGCACCUCAAAAGUUAACUCAAAAUAUAAAACUUUUUAUUAUAAUUAUAAAUUCACCAUUAGCGUCUUUUACAAUUGAUAUAGGACAACCUCAAUAUCAAUGUUGCCAUGAAGGGGUUCUCAGGCCUCUCCCAUCGGAGGGCGACGCUAAGGCGCUCCAGGGGACGACCUUGUCCUAGCCGUGGUGGCGAGUGAUGCUGCUGUGGCUGGCCAUGUUACUCUAGCCAAAGAAGAUAGAUAUAAAAUCCUCUUAUAACAUCCCGGGCCCCACUGUGUAANNNNNNNNNNNNNNNNNNNNNNNNNNNNNNNNNNNNNNNNNNNNNNNNNNNNNNNNNNNNNNNNNNNNNNNNNNNNNNNNNNNNNNNNNNNNNNNNNNNNUAACCAGUGUAAGGCGUUUCCAAGCCACGAGAGAAAAGACCGUGGCUUAGACGCGUUUUAAAGCCACGAGAGAAAAGACCGUGGAUAAGAUGGCGGUUCGUUCGCACCAGAGCGGAUGACCCAAAGCGGACAAUAUUACACAAUGGGGCCCGGGAUGUUACACCUCUACCAUAAACUUAUAACAUUCAUCGUUGUUACAUGGGCUGAAUGAUUUUUAAAGUAUAUUUAUCCACGCACUUAGAAUCCACCCCUUGAAUCGAACACGACCUGGCCCACCUCUAAAGGACAGCAGGACGAAACUUUGACAUUAUUCUCUCACACCAUGACAUGUAACUACAAAAUUGAUGCCCUCGAGUCUUGCGCGACAAAGCAGGGUCCUUGCAUGAAGGAGGAGAGAACUAGGGGUGUCAAUGGGUCAGGUCGGGUCGGAUUUUGUUGUUACCCGACCCGACCUGAAACACAAUCGGUCACAUACUAUGACCCGACCCGAACCGACCCGAAACACAUUAAAUGGUCUAAUGUGUUUCGGGUCGGUUCGGAUCAGGUUAUUGGGUUUCUUGCUUCUUCUUUUUUUUUUUCUUUCUUUCUUUUCUUUGGGGUUUGGGUUAAAACUCUGCAGCAAUCAUCCCAUCCUGAUCCCAUUCUUAUGCAAACAGGUUAUUACAAGAACCUGAUUUUAACAUCAAUUCUUGCGAGUGAUCAAUCUAAGUCUUUUUAACUGAUAAAAACUCAAUAGCAGAGCACCAAGUAGAAGAACAGAGAGCAGCGAAGAAAAAAUCCCAAGAAACCUAAAGCUUUGGCACUUCAACCUGUUGGGCAGGUUCCAUAUCCAAAAUAAAACUGAGUUUUUUUUUAUCAAACUCACCCAUAAGACCACUGCAAAUUCCUUUUCGAUUCUCAUGAUUUAUGAAGAGACAAUUACAUUUUGCGAUAGUAAGGAUCAUUCCAGUAACACCUACCCAACUGGCCACAUUAAUGAAGUGCUGAAUUGCAGAAUUCAACUUAAGUUCAUGAAAGACCAGCUACAUAGGACUAGCGAGCCGCUACUCGUGCUCCACUCUAGAUACUCCAAAGAAACAUACCAACCUAAUACUGCAGUGAUGAAGCUGCUUCAUGCUAAUCCACAUUGUUCAAUUGCUUUUUCUUUCUCAAAGGUCGCAAAGUACUGAUAAAUGAUGGUGACGGUGAGAAGAAUCCCAGUCCAAAGGCAGACUUGACAGACAUUUUUCAACUUGCAAGAAUUCCGGCAAAUUUCAGUUUUCUUGCAUCUAGCAUAUGCACCUGUUCUGUAUACAAAGUAACGAGCGAUUGAAUCAAAAAUUGGUAAAAUAGAGCACGCCAGUGACAAUUACCCAUGCCCUUAUCGCCAACAAUGACAAGCUUGAAGCCCGGGUGAUUGAACAUCUGCUGAUUCGACAAAGCCUGAAAGAGACGCAAGGGAAACAACAACAAUUAAAACAACAAACCAAAUGAGAUAAAAAAAAAUUCAAACUUUGCGAUCACGUAACCAGACCGCUCAGCUCCAGAACCCCAAAAGAAACAGCAUCUGACCAGGACCCAAAAGCUCGAGCAGAAUCACAAAAAGAAUAGAGAUUCAAGAAGACCCAGCAACAACAGAACACGAGCUAUUGAUAUAAGAAUGGACGUGCAGAAAAUGGAACGAUGAAAAGGAAAGAAUGGACUGUCAGCGAGCGAAACUUACUGAGAAUGGACUGAUUCUAAUACCAAAACCAAUGAACCCAAAGAAAAUUCAAUCACUCAAGAUAAACAGAGACCCAAGCAGCAUCACCUAUACCGUUGGUCCAACCGAAGUCUCCCACAGGAAUACAAGGCAAGAAGCCAAUUUCCACUUAAAACCCACCACAUUAUCCGCAAAAAACGAAAGCCACAUUCCAAUUUAAACGAACAACAAGUGCCCAAAACACCCAUCCUUUGCCACAAGAGAAAAAAGGAGGGGGGCAAAAAACGCAUUUACCACGUCGUGUCGGUGGGGGACUUCCGGACGGCGAGGCGGGUCCAGGCGACGACCUUCUCGGAGGGCAAGUCCCUGGCCUCGACGAGCGUCGAGACGAUCCUGAUGAGCUGGACGGAGUUAGUGAGCUCCUUCCUCCACUGGAUCUCCUGGGGCCUCGGGUACGCGGCUGCCUGGAGGGAGCACCUCUGCCGGGCGUUGUGGGUCGGCGCGAACGAGAGGAGGCGCGAGUUCGAAGAAGACCCGGAAGGGAUUUGGGAAGGGGAAGGAGAGGGGUUUUCGGCGACGGACGACGACGAUCGACUGAUUCGGCGGCGGCUAGGGUUCUGGCGUUGAGACGAGGGGUGGCGACGACGACGGAGAGGCGGAGGCGCGUCGAUCGGAGGGCAGCAGCGGAAUCCACGAGAAGGCGCAGUCGUCGGAGAAGCAGCCGAAGGGGAGGGUUUUCACUUUUCAGCGACGUGUUUGAGUGUUUGUGUUUGGUUGGCUUGUUUGGAACAGGUGUUAACGUGUUUCGGGUCUGAACAAUGUUCCAACACUGACCCGACCCGAAACAUAUUUUGUUACUUGUUUUAUGCCUGUUACCCAAACAAUUUUAAGACCGGAAACACAUACUCAACUUGUUUCGUGUUCAGGUCGUGUUCGGAUCGGGUCGGGUCGGGUCGGAUUUUUUUGACACCCCUAGAGAGAACACGAGGGGGGCCUAUGGCAUGAAAUACUGGAGGUAUGCGUCGGCUCUCGAGUGAUUGAGGCAGACUUGGGCAUAAGUGGCGAGUUGAAGUGGUCAUCCAUGAAUGGCAGCUCCUUCACGUCGACGCACACGACGCUCGAGAGCUUGAUUCCAAGCUGUGCAUGUCUCACUCUAUCCAUGUACCUCCCGCCCCCCGACGUGAUUGCGACUUGUACAUCAUUUGAUUUCGAGUAAUAGUUAUUACACAUGCGCCGAUUAAAAGAACUUAUGAGUACCUUUAUAUGUAAUUUCUUAGAUAAAAAUAUAGAUUCUCUAUGUGAAUUUUACGAGAAUUUGGCAAACUCUCUAGGCGAAUACGGAUUGACAUACCCAAUUAAGGAUAAUAUUAUUUACAAAUUGGUUGAAGUUUCUUCUUAUUAUGAGAGAACAUGCUUGCGAAUUGUAAAGCAAUUAAACGUUCAUCAAAUGUUAUGGAGACUAGACCUUAUAGAGAGUGCUUUCAAGACCCAUGGGAUUAUGGAGACGCUCUAAUCUCAAACUCUUGACUUCGGCCUAUUGGCCCCAUCAAAAAAUCAAUUCAAACGUCCAAUUUAUUCACUUGGGCCGAGCUCCAACAAUCAACAACCGGAUCUUAAUUUUGGACGUGACAAAGCAUCAGCUUAGAAGAUUUGAAUAUGGAUUCCAACUCUGAUGAUGCAGGCCCGAAUCUUGACCCACAGCGUGAGCUCGCUUUCACUGUAAUAAACUAGUCUGUCCCCCUACUUGUACUAUUGUACGUUUAGUAACAAUGGCCACUGCUUUUUGGCCCGAAAUGUUUCAAUUAUUGUCUGAAGUACGAUCUUUUUUAGUGUUAUCAUCCAGUAAAGCAUCUUGUACAUGCCUAUGCCUAUGCCUAUGUAUUACACGCAAAAAGUUUAUAAUGCCCUCAGCCUUUUCAAUGUAAGGCUAAUUUCGAUGAGAAGUUGGAAUAAGAGUUGUCUUAAGUUUUAUAUCUAUAUACCCUCUCCCGCAGUAUUCUAAACGCUCUUAUCCCUCCCCCAGUGGAUUGCAUUAGAGAGUCAUAAUUAUCUUGUCAGUUCAAUAAGAAGAGAUAAUGAUAGAAUGCAGUGUCUAAUUAUUGAAUGCCUUAUGGUAUACUUUAAUGAUGUCGAGAGAUUAAAAGACAGUCCUGUGAAAAGUCGAGAGAGGGUCUUAUUUAUAACUAAAAUAUAAGGAAAAUGAGCCACGAAGAUCCUUUUGAAGUAAAACAGCAACUGCUUUUUCCCUUUUUUUCAGUGUGUGACCUGGCUUUCACGUGAAGCUUCGCCUGACGGAAGCAAUGCUCAGGCCAGAGAUCAGCACAGGCGCACGACCCCACACGUGCCAGAAUCCUACAGGAACUCCUCCAAAAUAAAGAUAAAUAAAUAAACAAAAUAUAAAUUAAAAACUUGGGGAUAAAAAUAAAUAAAUAAAGCUGCCCCUUUCUCAUCCUCCUCCGUCUUCUUCCAUUUUUGUUAGCCAAUCGUCGAUCGAGUCCUCCAAACCCCCAACAAAUCCCCCCUUCCAUGGCCGCCGCCGCCUCCGCCCCGGCGCAACCCCCGGCGCCGCCGCCUCCCCCGCCGCCCGCCAAGCACAUCUUCAUCCUCUCCGGCCAGAGCAACAUGUCCGGCUACGGCGGCGUCACCCGCCACCACGGCUGGGACGGGGUCGUCUCCCCGGAGUGCCGCCCCGACCCCUCCGUCCUCCGCCUCAGCGCCGACCUCCGGUGGGAGGAGGCCCGGGAACCCCUCCACCGCGACAUCGGCACCCGGAAGGCCUGCGGCGUGGGCCCGGGGAUGGCCUUCGCGAACGCGGUGAGGGAGCGCGGCGGGGUCGCGGGGAUGGCGGUGGGCCUGGUGCCGUGCGCGGUGGGGGGGACGGCGAUCCGGGAGUGGGCCCGCGGGGAGGAGCUGUACGAGAGCAUGGUGAGGAGGGCGAGGGCGAGCGUGAGGGACGGCGGCGGCGAGAUCAAGGCGCUGCUGUGGUACCAAGGCGAGAGCGACACCUCCACGCAGCACGACGCGGAGGCGUACGGGGAGAAGAUGGAUGCGCUCAUCAAGAACGUGCGCGACGAUCUCGGCCUGCCCUCCCUUCCCGUCAUCCAGGUGAGUUCCGUCUCCGUCGUCCACUCCGCUGAGCUUUUUCGAUCGCC
Molecule: long non-coding RNA, 15203 nt
Filed under: Eucalyptus grandis
Lineage: Eukaryota; Viridiplantae; Streptophyta; Magnoliopsida; Myrtales; Myrtaceae
Description: long non-coding RNA (EGRA_LNC005046)
Source: RNAcentral